GUGCUUGCUUCGGCAGCACAUAUACUAAAACUGGAACGAUACCGAGAAGGUGAGCAUGGCCCUACGCAGGGAUGACAUGCAAAUUCCAUAUUUUUUAAAUACUGUA
Molecule: small nuclear RNA, 106 nt
Filed under: Delphinapterus leucas (beluga whale)
Lineage: Eukaryota; Metazoa; Chordata; Mammalia; Artiodactyla; Monodontidae
Also listed under: 1 other name
Source: RNAcentral